UAGGCUAUCCUCCUUGGUCAUAAAGUCCAUAGGCUGUGUGUUUAACAACUUUAAUUUAACCAAUUUGGGAUGGCAUGAAAAGCCCUCUACACUUGUUGUCCGUACAAUAUAUCCUCAAAAUCAAAAGCAAGAGAGCUGCCCAGGUGCCAGAAAAGAACAACAUAUAGUGAUAACUCUGAAGGGGAUCCCAAUCAUUUUCUUUUGAGAAAGCAAGGUGUAACAGAUUUGGAGUUACAAAACUUUUCUUUGAGUACCAGCUAACACCACUGAGCCUUAGUUCUUAGCUAUUUUUUUUUCAUGUUGUGAAAAAAGACAUCUUUGAGUGCAUGUGAUUGUUAUUCAUGGAAACUGUCAGUAUUCUUAAGUCCUCCUAGAAACAUGAAAG
Non-coding RNA from Phascolarctos cinereus (koala), 385 nucleotides. Lineage: Eukaryota; Metazoa; Chordata; Mammalia; Diprotodontia; Phascolarctidae. The record is from RefSeq and is a predicted model, not a curated record.